Molecule: ribosomal RNA, 687 nt
Filed under: uncultured bacterium
Lineage: Bacteria
Description: bacterial SSU rRNA
Rfam family: Bacterial small subunit ribosomal RNA
Source: RNAcentral
CAUGCAAGUCGAGCGAAUCUUUAGAAGCUUGCUUCUAAAGGUUAGCGGCGGACGGGUGAGUAACACGUGGGCAACCUGCCUGUAAGACUGGGAUAACUUCGGGAAACCGGAGCUAAUACCGGAUAAUUCUUUCCCUCUCAUGAGGGAAAGCUGAAAGACGGCGCAAGCUGUCACUUACAGAUGGGCCCGCGGCGCAUUAGCUAGUUGGUGAGGUAACGGCUCACCAAGGCGACGAUGCGUAGCCGACCUGAGAGGGUGAUCGGCCACACUGGGACUGAGACACGGCCCAGACUCCUACGGGAGGCAGCAGUGGGGAAUAUUGGACAAUGGGCGAAAGCCUGAUCCAGCCAUGCCGCGUGAGUGAUGAAGGCCCUAGGGUUGUAAAGCUCUUUCACCGGUGAAGAUAAUGACGGUAACCGGAGAAGAAGCCCCGGCUAACUUCGUGCCAGCAGCCGCGGUAAUACGAAGGGGGCUAGCGUUGUUCGGAAUUACUGGGCGUAAAGCGCACGUAGGCGGACUAUUAAGUCAGGGGUGAAAUCCCGGGGCUCAACCCCGGAACUGCCUUUGAUACUGGUAGUCUAGAGUCCGGAAGAGGUGAGUGGAAUUCCGAGUGUAGAGGUGAAAUUCGUAGAUAUUCGGAGGAACACCAGUGGCGAAAGCGGCUCACUGGUCCGGUACUGACGCUGA